AAAAAAAGAAAAAAAAAAAAAAAAAAAAAAAAAAUAGGGCAAAACGUAAAGGAAAGAAAUAGAAAUUUAGAUUCUGCUUUUUUUUAAUAUGUUUUCUUCCUUUUGCAAUGUUUUUUUAU
This 119-nucleotide non-coding RNA is filed under the name Protocruzia adhaerens. The record is from RNAcentral. Lineage: Eukaryota; Ciliophora; Spirotrichea.